AUGAACGCUGGCGGCGUGCCUAAUACAUGCAAGUCGAGCGAACGGACGAGAAGCUUGCUUCUCUGAUGUUAGCGGCGGACGGGUGAGUAACACGUGGAUAGCCUACCUAUAAGACUGGGAUAACUUCGGGAAACCGUAGCUAAUACCGGAUAAUAUUUUGAACCGCAUGGUUCAAAAGUGAAAGACGGUCUUGCUGUCACUUAUAGAUGGAUCCGCGCUGCAUUAGCUAGUUGGUAAGGUAACGGCUUACCAAGGCAACGAUGCAUAGCCGACCUGAGAGGGUGAUCGGCCACACUGGAACUGAGACACGGUCCAGACUCCUACGGGAGGCAGCAGUAGGGAAUCUUCCGCAAUGGGCGAAAGCCUGACGGAGCAACGCCGCGUGAGUGAUGAAGGUCUUCGGAUCGUAAAACUCUGUUAUUAGGGAAGAACAUAUGUGUAAGUAACUGUGCACAUCUUGACGGUACCUAAUCAGAAAGCCACGGCUAACUACGUG
Molecule: ribosomal RNA, 496 nt
Filed under: uncultured bacterium
Lineage: Bacteria
Description: partial 16S ribosomal RNA
Rfam family: Bacterial small subunit ribosomal RNA
Source: RNAcentral